Non-coding RNA from Pelobates cultripes (western spadefoot toad), 2747 nucleotides. Lineage: Eukaryota; Metazoa; Chordata; Amphibia; Anura; Pelobatidae. The record is from the annotation of a GenBank genome assembly.
GCAGAGGGACACUAAAGUGUUCUUUUAAGGCCUGCCAUCAUACAUAUUGAGGCCCUUUACAAAGCUCAAGGCCUGGGCUCCCAGGGCCAACCCUAGAAUCUACCCAAAAUACCCAUCCCUGAUUACACACACUUGUGUUGUGUGCUUCUAUGUGUGUCUGUAAAUUUACAUACUUAAAUAGGCUGAGAAGAGACGUGUCUAUGAAAUUCAGUCUUUUUAGGCAUGCAUUAUGUAUUUCUCCAUGUGUUUGAAUUUUUAUGGAAGCAUUGUGUGUGUAGGGAUUCAUUAUGUGUUUCAAUCAAACCUCUAGAAAACCUACAAACCUCAACUACGCCAAACUUUAUGCAUCACUUUCACUGUAGACAAGUCACACAGUUACUCACUUCCAUCCCUCAAAAAUAUUUAACAAGGAAGAGCACAGACUUUGAAAUGGUCUGCAUAGAUCAGGACCCACUGGAGAAGGGUAUCUUGUUGUUAUACAAAAUGCUUAUGAAACUGAGAAGGAUGCCACCCCUGAGCUUCAUGGGGAAAUGGUAAGUCGCCUUAAGGAUAUCACUCAUACCCACACAAUGGUCGAAAAUUUGUAAUCUAACCCUCCAUUGCGCGGUUUAAAGCGGAAAACAAAAAAAACUGCAUAUAAGUUGCAGGCCUACUGUUACAUAAUCCCCUCAGUUCUUUUACGCCAAGCAUGUCAAAACUCCUGGCAUGCGGCCCACAAUGAACAUCUUUGCGGCCCGGCGAGCUGUGAGUACAUGCUUGGUGUUAAAGCAGAGUAGGCACCUGCUUUCUCCACAUUGCAAGUGCCUACUCUGCUAAAAUGUACCCGACCGGAGAGGAAGCAGGACGCUGGCGGCAGCGAGGGAGCUCAGUCUUCCUGCUCCCUCGCGCGCCGUCUGUAGUGAUGCCGGGUGUCGGUAUAUGAUGUCAUAUUCCGGCAUCACAAACUGCGUGCGAGGGAGCAGUGAUCCCCACUGGACUCCCAGGAAUGAUGUGAGUGUGUGCAAGAAUGUGUAAAUGUGUGUCUGUCAGUGAGUGUGUGUGUGUCGGUCAGUGUUGUGAUGGCCGCGGAUGGACAGUGGAGUACCUGGAGAUGCAUGGAGGCAUGCAACGCCACGUCACAUUCCGAAGUGAUGUCAAAGUGCUCCACCUUCACAAGGUUUCAAGAAGUAGCAGGAGGAUCCGCUUUGGCACAGGGUGCGGACGGCGCUAUUUGUGGUAUAGCAGAGGCCAGAGUCGCAUACUGGCAGCGGCAAUGUGAGUGGAGUCUGCUUGUUGGCUAGAGGGGGGUGCUGGGAUUUAGUGGGGGGAGGGAUCGGAUUUAGUAUAUGAGGAGGACUGGGAUAUAGUAUAUGGGGGGGGACUGUAGUUUAGUAGAGGGGGAUGCUGUUUUUUUUAUAUAUAUAUACUGUACGUUUCAAAAUAAACCUACGUAGACGGGGAACUGGUUCAUUGAUCCACAUCUGGUGGGAUUGCCCUUGAUUCGACUAAUAGGCCACUAUCCACAAAAUUAUACAGAAAUUUUCAGAUAACCCCACCCACCCCUGAAACCAGCACUGUUCUUCUUACACCACACUAAAUCCCAAUCUUCGAUCUAGAAAAAAAUUCUCACUGAUUCCCCAGUGCUGGAGGCAGAAGGUUCCUCCUCCUGAGGCCCUAUGGUUUAAACGCAUGAAGAAGCUCUGUUUUCUUAGCGGAGCUCACCAUGCUCACAAAACGCAAAUGUAUAUGACAAUCUGGACUCCUUGGAUCUUAUCAGCAGAUUCAGCCUAUGUCUGGACCCUACUCUAAUGGAAAGCAGAGCUGUGGAGACAUAGGGGGAACACAAAUAGUCAUUGUGGCAAAACCAACCUCGCCACGAAGCAUUGGAGAAGCCUGGUUGCUCGCCUGUAUCCCCUGGAUUAUGGCCCCAUGUUAAAAAGCCUUCUUUUCCCUUGCAGAAAAGGCUUGUUCGUGCCUUUCUGCCCAGCGUUCAGUAGAUUCAAUCUACCGAACAAACAACCCAAUGACUGGACCACCUGUAUUGGGCGUGUGUCGGCAAUUUACCUCCCAGAAGCUGCGGUUAACCGCAGCUUAAUUGACGAAUGCUGGGUGGCCUUUGUUCGUUUGCCGAACACGUGGCGGCGGCCAUUUUAAAGUCCCGAACGGCCAGCGGUGUUCAGCGCCCAAACUAUGGAACUGGAAACGGACACUUAUUUGCGCGAACACCGCUGAGCCGUCAGCUUCCUUGCAUCUGCAUUCCGUCAUUUAACCGGAUGCCUGUUCAUUCGGUAGUUUAACCAUAUGAACAGCAUUACCCCAGAUAGCCAUGCCAUGGAGCCUAUUCGUGUAACGAAAGACUACGGGAAAGACUUUGGCUCCGUGGCGAUUGAACUGUACGUAUGUGAUCUGAGCACCAUCCGGUAAUAAUGUGCGCUCAGAUCUAAGCUAUCUGGGGAUAUGUAGAAUGUAUAUGUUUUGUGCAACAGUUGUAACUUUAUACAUUUUUACUGUCUUUUACUGCCAUGUGGUUAAUGGAGUUUUGCCUCUGUCCUGGGAGAUAAUUGGAUUACUUCCCAAUUAUCUCCAGGACAGAGGGAGGGAAAUUAGGAUGCAUUGUGGGAAUGUUUUACUUCUGUGUGUCUGUCAUUGGUUCAUGUCUGUCCUUUGUCACAGUCUUCCAUUUGGUCCCCUAGGGGAGUGUCCACCAGCUGGGAGACCUGCAUAAAUACUGGGCAGGUAGCCCUCAAUAAACCAGACCACUGAUUGAC